AAGAACCUCACCUGGGAUCGAAGCGCAGUGGACCGGGGUGGAAACAUCCGUUUCCGCAAGGACCGCUGCGGAGGUGCUGCAUGGCUGUCGUCAGUUCGUGUCCUAAGAUGUUGGGUUAAGUCCCGCAACGAGCGCAACCCUGAUCCCUAGUAGCGAGCGGGUCUAGCCGGGCACUCUAGCGAAACUGCCUCGGAUAACGUGGAGGAAGGUGGGGAUGACGUCAAGUCCUCAUGGCCUUUAUGUCCAGGGCUACACACGUGCUACAAUGCGCGGUACAAACCGUCGCAAACCCGCGAGGGGGAGCUAAUCGGAAAAAGCCGCGCUCAGUUCGGAUUGGAGUCUGCAACCCGACUCCAUGAAGCUGGAAUCGCUAGUAAUCGCAGAUCAGAACGCUGCGGUGAAUACGUUCCCGGGCCUUGUACACACCGCCCGUCACAUCACGAAAGUGGGCCGUACUAGAAGUCGGUGAGCUAACCGCAAGGAGGCAGCCGCCCAAGGUACAGCUCAUAAUUGGGGUGAAGUCGUAACGAGGUAGCCGUAGGAGAACCUGCGGCUGGAUCACCUCCUU
RNAcentral lists this ribosomal RNA (568 nucleotides) under uncultured bacterium. RNAcentral describes it as "bacterial SSU rRNA". It matches the Rfam family "Bacterial small subunit ribosomal RNA", at positions 964 to 1532 of the family's 1533-position model. The record is from RNAcentral.